UCUCCGUAGGUGAACCUGCGGAGGGAUCAUUACAGAGUUCAUGCCCUACCGGGUAGAUCUCCCACCCUAAGUUAUUAUUACUUUGUUGCUUUGGCGGGCCGUUAGGCUCCGGCCCGACUACCGGCCCCGGCUGGUAAGCGCCCGCCAGAGGACCCAAAACCCUGAAUAUUAGUGUCGUCUGAGUACUAUAUAAUAGUUAAAACUUUCAACAACGGAUCUCUUGGUUCUG
RNAcentral lists this unclassified non-coding RNA (229 nucleotides) under plant metagenome. Its description in RNAcentral is "partial contains small subunit ribosomal RNA, internal transcribed spacer 1, and 5.8S ribosomal RNA". The record is from RNAcentral.